AUAUCAAUAUGGGGCCUUUGGUUUCAUAAUUGGAAUGGGUGCAAAUUAAAACUCUGCACGAGGAUCAAUUGGAGGGCAAGUCUGGUGCCAGCAGCCGCGGUAAUUCCAGCUCCAAUAGCGUAUAUUAAAGUUGUUGCAGUUAAAAAGUUCGUAGUUGAAUUUCUGGACGCGACGGCGGUCCGCCUUCGGGUGUGUACUUGCUGUUCGCGUCCAAACCUUGCGGAGAAGGCGUGUGGCCUUAACUGGUUGUGCGUUCGGAUCCGCAUCAAUUACUGUGAGCAAAUUAGAGUGUUUAAAGCGGGCAUUUCGCUUGAAUACAUUAGCAUGGAAUAAUGAGAUAGGACUUUGGUGCUAUUUCGUUGGUCGCGUGCCAAAGUAAUGAUUAAUAGGGACAGUUGGGGGUAUUCAUAUUUGAUUGUCAGAGGUGAAAUUCUUGGAUUUAUCAAAGAUGAACAACUGCGAAAGCGUUUACCAAGGAUGUUUUCAUUAAUCAAGAUCGAAAGUCAGGGGAUCGAAGAGGUUUAGAUACCCUCGUAGUCUUGACCAUAAACUAUGCCGACUCAGGAUUGGCGGUGUUCUUCAAUGUCGCCGCCAGCACUGUAUGAUAAAUCAAAGUCUUUGGGUUCCGGGGGGAGUAUGGUCGCAAGGCUGAAACUUAAAGGAAUUGACGGAAGGGCACACCAGGAGUGGAGCCUGCGGCUUAAUUUGACCCAACACGGGGAAACUUACCAGGUCCAGACAUAGUAAGGAUUGACAGAUUGAGAGCUCUUUCUUGAUUCUAUGGGUGGUGGUGCAUGGCCGUUCUUAGUUGGUGGAGUGAUUUGUCAGGUUAAUUCCGGUAACGAACGAGACCUCCGCCUGCUAAAUAGUCACGUGAUGCUUUGCAUCCACGGGCGACUUCUUAGAGGGACUACGGGCGGUGAGCUCGCGGAAGUUGGAGGCAAUAACAGGUCUGUGAUGCCCUUAGAUGUUCUGGGCCGCACGCGCGCUACACUGACUGGUUCAGAAAGCUUUAUCCUUUGCUCCGAAAGGCAUGGGUAAUCUUUAAACGCCAGUCGUGAUGGGGAUAGAUUCCUGUAAUGAUAAUCUUCAACGAGGAAUUCCUAGUAAACGCAACUCAUCAGGUUGCAUUGAUUACGUCCCUGCCCUUUGUACACACCGCCCGUCGCACCUACCGAUUGAAUGGUCCGGUGAAACUCUCGGAUCGUGGUCGUUUGCCUCUUCACGGAGGCGUCGAUCGCG
Molecule: ribosomal RNA, 1242 nt
Filed under: metagenome
Description: SSU rRNA
Rfam family: Eukaryotic small subunit ribosomal RNA
Source: RNAcentral